GAUGAAGAACGUAGCGAAAUGCGAUAAGUAAUGUGAAUUGCAGAAUUCAGUGAAUCAUCGAAUCUUUGAACGCACCUUGCGCUCCUUGGUAUUCCGAGGAGCAUGCCUGUUUGAGUGUCAUGAAAUUCUCAACCUUUUCAGCUUUCUUUGUUGAUCAGGCUUGGAUGUGGGAGUAUGCGGGCUUCUCAGAAGUCGGCUCUCCUGAAAUGCAUUAGCGGGACCUUUGUUGCCUGGCUUUGGUGUGAUAAUUAUCUACGCCAUUGUAGUCAAGCAGCUUAAAAUGAGGUUUCAGCUUCUAACCGUCUCCCCUGAGACAACUUUUUGACAAUUUGACCUCAAAUCAGGUAGGACUACCCGCUGAACUUAAGCAUAUCAAUAAGCCGGAGGA
This 388-nucleotide unclassified non-coding RNA is filed under the name soil metagenome. Its description in RNAcentral is "partial contains 5.8S ribosomal RNA, internal transcribed spacer 2, and large subunit ribosomal RNA". The stretch from base 1 to 120 matches the Rfam family "5.8S ribosomal RNA", at positions 35 to 154 of the family's 154-position model. The record is from RNAcentral.